This 435-nucleotide ribosomal RNA is filed under the name Triticum aestivum (bread wheat). RNAcentral describes it as "partial small subunit ribosomal RNA". The record is from RNAcentral. Lineage: Eukaryota; Viridiplantae; Streptophyta; Magnoliopsida; Poales; Poaceae.
AUGGCCCACGUGGCGCUGCGCGGCUACCCUGCCGAGCAGCGGACGGGGGCGCACGCCACGGACAACUGCCGCAGGUUCGGGGUCGUGCGCGAGAUCGACCCCGCCUGCGUUGCGGCGCCCGACCUCUCCGCCGUCCAGCUGAAAGUGAGAGUAUUGACAUGUAGGGCAUCAUCAGAAGCAAACAGCAGAGCUCGGCUCGGAGCGCUGUAUUGCCGCAGCAACAGCAGCCAAGGCCAAAAAAGCCACCCUCAGGAUAUUGUAAGAUCCAUGUUGAUGCAGGAGUUUUGGCAGGAAGAGGAGGCUCAGCAGCGGCCAUCUGCAGAGAUGAAGGGGGUAAUUAUAUGGGGAGUUUGGAGUUUGGCACUACUUCCUCCGUUCCUAAAUAUAAGUCUUUUUACACAUUUCAAAUGGACUACAGCAUACGGAUGUACAUAG